AGGGAUAUAACUCAGUGGUAGAGUGUCACCUUGACGUGGUGGAAGUCAUCAGUUAGCCUGAUUAUCCCUA
Molecule: transfer RNA, 70 nt
Filed under: Helianthus annuus (common sunflower)
Lineage: Eukaryota; Viridiplantae; Streptophyta; Magnoliopsida; Asterales; Asteraceae
Rfam family: tRNA
About the family: Transfer RNA (tRNA) molecules are approximately 80 nucleotides in length. Their secondary structure includes four short double-helical elements and three loops (D, anti-codon, and T loops).
Source: RNAcentral